Molecule: long non-coding RNA, 485 nt
Filed under: Pan troglodytes (chimpanzee)
Lineage: Eukaryota; Metazoa; Chordata; Mammalia; Primates; Hominidae
Description: long non-coding RNA NONPTRT007318
Source: RNAcentral
CAUGUCCUCAACUCCUUUGAAAGUAUGAGGUCAGGAGUUCGAGACCAGCCUGGCCAGCAUGGUGAAACCCUGCCUCUACUAAAAAUACAAAAAUUAACUGAGUGUGGUGCAAGCCUGUAAUCCCAGCUACUGGGGAGCAUCGUUUUUUUUUUUUUUUUACCAGCCUUGUUUCCUGGAUAAUUUCCCUUAGAUAUAUUGCUGUGUCAAUUAGAAAUCAUAUUUAUUUUCACUUAUGAAAAAGACGUCUGGAGAUAUGCAAUCUAGGGCUGCAGUCUUUCUUACCUUUCUAUUUUCCCUUGUAGGGGGUGUCCUUGAUUUGCAUUCUUAAAAGGUGGCUUCAAGAGCAUAAGCUACCAAGUUAGAGGUCCAGAUGGAGAGAAAGGUGAGCAGGGAGAGGAACAGGGCAUGAGCCAGCCAAGUCAGCUUAAAAGCUUUCAUAAAAGCCGCACCCAUAGAUUCCUGCUAACAUCUUAUGUGCCAGAACU